RNAcentral lists this ribosomal RNA (253 nucleotides) under uncultured bacterium. RNAcentral's name for it is "partial 16S ribosomal RNA". It matches the Rfam family "Bacterial small subunit ribosomal RNA", at positions 524 to 776 of the family's 1533-position model. The record is from RNAcentral.
UACGUAGGGUGCAAGCGUUGUCCGGAAUUAUUGGGCGUAAAGAGCUCGUAGGCGGUUUGUCGCGUCUGCUGUGAAAACUCGGGGCUCAACCCCGGACCUGCAGUGGGUACGGGCAGACUAGAGUGCGGUAGGGGAGACUGGAAUUCCUGGUGUAGCGGUGAAAUGCGCAGAUAUCAGGAGGAACACCGGUGGCGAAGGCGGGUCUCUGGGCCGUAACUGACGCUGAGGAGCGAAAGCGUGGGGAGCGAACAGG